UGGCUUUUGAGGAAAGUAGUGGUCCGUUAGGUUGGGGAAAAAGACAUCAUCCGUUGAGGUAAAAUUAGAUUUGCUGCUUUUUACUCCCAAAAUCUUUUUACUGUGGGUAAAAAGAAUCAUCAUGGGGGUAUAAAAGGCACCAAAUUUAAAUUUAACUCAAGGGGUCUUAAUGUCGUUUUUCCCAACAGGACGGAUCACUAUUUUCCCCAAGAGCUA
RNAcentral lists this microRNA precursor (216 nucleotides) under Medicago truncatula (barrel medic). RNAcentral describes it as "long non-coding RNA NONMTRT002089". It matches the Rfam family "MIR2670 microRNA precursor family". The record is from RNAcentral. Lineage: Eukaryota; Viridiplantae; Streptophyta; Magnoliopsida; Fabales; Fabaceae.